UGGGGAAUAUUGCACAAUGGGCGAAAGCCUGAUGCAGCGACGCCGCGUGGGGGAUGACGGCCUUCGGGUUGUAAACCUCUUUCAGCAAGGAAGAAGCGAAAGUGACGGUACUUGCAGAAGAAGCGCCGGCUAACUACGUGCCAGCAGCCGCGGUAAUACGUAGGGCGCAAGCGUUGUCCGGAAUUAUUGGGCGUAAAGGGCUUGUAGGUGGCUUGUCGCGUCUGCCGUGAAAACUCGAGGCUUAACCUUGGGCGUGCGGUGGGUACGGGCAGGCUAGAGUGCGGUAGGGGAGACUGGAAUUCCUGGUGUAGCAGUGAAAUGCGCAGAUAUCAGGAGGAACACCGAUGGCGAAGGCAGGUCUCUGGGCCGUUACUGACACUGAGAAGCGAAAGCAUGGGGAGCGAACAGG
RNAcentral lists this ribosomal RNA (409 nucleotides) under Actinomycetes bacterium. Its description in RNAcentral is "Actinobacteria bacterium partial 16S ribosomal RNA". It matches the Rfam family "Bacterial small subunit ribosomal RNA", at positions 355 to 776 of the family's 1533-position model. The record is from RNAcentral. Lineage: Bacteria; Bacillati; Actinomycetota; Actinomycetes.